AAAUUAAAAAAAAAUCUGGUGCUUGCAAUUAGAAUGAUACAGAGAUGAUUAGCAUGGUCCCCUCCACAAGGAUGACACGCAAAUUGGUGAAGCAUUCCGUAUUAAA
Molecule: small nuclear RNA, 106 nt
Organism: Pongo abelii (Sumatran orangutan)
Lineage: Eukaryota; Metazoa; Chordata; Mammalia; Primates; Hominidae
Source: Ensembl